RNAcentral lists this ribosomal RNA (217 nucleotides) under uncultured bacterium. Its description in RNAcentral is "partial 16S ribosomal RNA". It matches the Rfam family "Bacterial small subunit ribosomal RNA", at positions 114 to 334 of the family's 1533-position model. The record is from RNAcentral.
UGCAUCGGAAUGUACCCAGUAGUGGGGGAUAACCAGUCGAAAGAUUGGCUAAUACCGCAUACGCACUACGGUGGAAAGCGGGGGAUCGCAAGACCUCGCGCUAUUGGAGCAGCCGAUGUCCGAUUAGGUAGUUGGUGGGGUAAUGGCCUACCAAGCCCGCGAUCGGUAACUGGUCUGAGAGGACGACCAGUCACACUGGGACUGAGACACGGCCCAG